Long non-coding RNA from Helianthus annuus (common sunflower), 443 nucleotides. RefSeq lists it as uncharacterized. The transcript has 3 exons. The record is from RefSeq and is a predicted model, not a curated record. Lineage: Eukaryota; Viridiplantae; Streptophyta; Magnoliopsida; Asterales; Asteraceae.
ACCAUUGGUCUUUGUUCAUCAUUGCCCAACACAUAGGACAUGUUUAUAUUUUGGAUUCAACAAAGAUAAAAGGCGAAAAGAAUGCUUCUAACUAUCGUCUUCAAGCCUAAUUCCUUCCGCCUUAGGAUCCGAGUUCAACUACACAAUGGUUGAUUGUAAGCAACAAAAGGGUGGAUGGGAAUGCGGCUACAUGGUUCUCCAACAUAUGUUUGACUUUGUCAAUUUGUAUCAAAACCAAUUUCCCGAUGAAAUGUGGCACAACACGAGAGUGGCUACGGAUAAUGAAAUAGAUGUUUUGUUGAUGACGUUGAUGCCGAAGUUUUUUAGCGAGUUAGGUAUUCCGUUAGUUUAGCUUAUGUGUAGUUUGUUAUGUAUUCACAAAUGAUUGUAAUUUGACGGGUUUAUUUCCGAAUUGGAUGUGGGCUUUAUUUUGGAUUUGAAUG